GGGGCUGUAAGGUGUUCGACAUAAGUUGUUGUUAUUCAAUAAUUGCAAAUCAAAUUCUACCUUUUUCUAUUCCCGUUAAACAUCUAGCUGUUUAAAUUUAAAGACAAUUUAAAGACAAUCUAAAGACUCAAGAGACAAAAAUUUUAGGUAUUUAGGUAACUUUUAGGUAACUAAGUAAGGAACUAAGUAACGAAAACAACUUAUGGACGUGGGUUCAAUUCCCACCAGCUCCAAUG
This 236-nucleotide transfer-messenger RNA is filed under the name Cyanidioschyzon merolae. RNAcentral's name for it is "Standard tmRNA". It matches the Rfam family "transfer-messenger RNA". Rfam says of the family: Bacterial tmRNA, also known as 10Sa RNA or SsrA, is named for its dual tRNA and mRNA-like properties. Its role is to liberate the mRNA from a stalled ribosome. Lineage: Eukaryota; Rhodophyta; Bangiophyceae; Cyanidiales; Cyanidiaceae. The record is from RNAcentral.